GUGGGGAAUAUUGGACAAUGGGCGCAAGCCUGAUCCAGCCAUGCCGCGUGAGUGAUGAAGGCCCUAGGGUUGUAAAGCUCUUUCACCGGUGAAGAUAAUGACGGUAACCGGAGAAGAAGCCCCGGCUAACUUCGUGCCAGCAGCCGCGGUAAUACGAAGGGGGCUAGCGUUGUUCGGAAUUACUGGGCGUAAAGCGCACGUAGGCGGAUCGUUAAGUCGGGGGUGAAAUCCUGGAGCUCAACUCCAGAACUGCCUUCGAUACUGGCGAUCUUGAGUCCGGAAGAGGUGAGUGGAACUCCUAGUGUAGAGGUGGAAUUCGUAGAUAUUAGGAAGAACACCAGUGGCGAAGGCGGCUCACUGGUCCGGUACUGACGCUGAGGUGCGAAAGCGUGGGGAGCAAACAGGAUUAGAUACCCUAGUAGUCC
This 425-nucleotide ribosomal RNA is filed under the name uncultured bacterium. Its description in RNAcentral is "partial 16S ribosomal RNA". It matches the Rfam family "Bacterial small subunit ribosomal RNA", at positions 354 to 796 of the family's 1533-position model. The record is from RNAcentral.